CGAGCGCAACCCUUGUCCUUAGUUACCAGCACGUUAUGGUGGGCACUCUAAGGAGACUGCCGGUGACAAACCGGAGGAAGUGGGGAUGACGUCAAGUCAUCAUGGCCCUUACGGCCUGGGCUACACACGUGCUACAAUGGUCGGUACAAAGGGUUGCCAAGCCGCGAGGUGGAGCUAAUCCCAUAAAACCGAUCGUAGUCCGGAUCGCAGUCUGCAACUCGACUGCGUGAAGUCGGAAUCGCUAGUAAUCGUGAAUCAGAAUGUCACGGUGAAUACGUUCCCGGGCCUU
Molecule: ribosomal RNA, 289 nt
Filed under: uncultured Pseudomonadaceae bacterium
Lineage: Bacteria; Pseudomonadati; Pseudomonadota; Gammaproteobacteria; Pseudomonadales; Pseudomonadaceae
Description: partial 16S ribosomal RNA
Rfam family: Bacterial small subunit ribosomal RNA
Source: RNAcentral